GGGCAAUUGCCUGCACUCUGGGACAAGCCCGGAAACGGGGUCUAAUACCGGAUAAUACUGUGCCCCUCAUGGGGGAUGGUUGAAAGCUCCGGCGGUGCAGGAUGAGCCCGCGGCCUAUCAGCUUGUUGGUGGGGUAAUGGCCUACCAAGGCGACGACGGGUAGCCGGCCUGAGAGGGCGACCGGCCACACUGGGACUGAGACACGGCCCAGACUCCUACGGGAGGCAGCAGUGGGGAAUAUUGCACAAUGGGCGAAAGCCUGAUGCAGCGACGCCGCGUGAGGGAUGACGGCCUUCGGGUUGUAAACCUCUUUCAGCAGGGAAGAAGCGAAAGUGACGGUACCUGCAGAAGAAGCGCCGGCUAACUACGUGCCAGCAGCCGCGGUAAUACGUAGGGCGCAAGCGUUGUCCGGAAUUAUUGGGCGUAAAGAGCUCGUAGGCGGUCUGUCACGUCGGGUGUGAAAGCCCGGGGCUUAACCCCGGGUCUGCAUUCGAUACGGGCAGACUAGAGUGUGGUAGGGGAGAUCGGAAUUCCUGGUGUAGCGGUGAAAUGCGCAGAUAUCAGGAGGAACACCGGUGGCGAAGGCGGAUCUCUGGGCCAUUACUGACGCUGAGGAGCGAAAGCGUGGGGAGCGAACAGGAUUAGAUACCCUGGUAGUCCACGCCGUAAACGUUGGGAACUAGGUGUUGGCGACAUUCCACGUCGUCGGUGCCGCAGCUAACCGCAUUAAGUUCCCCCGCCUGGGGAGUACCGGNC
RNAcentral lists this ribosomal RNA (756 nucleotides) under Streptomyces sp. RNAcentral describes it as "bacterial SSU rRNA". It matches the Rfam family "Bacterial small subunit ribosomal RNA", at positions 119 to 888 of the family's 1533-position model. The record is from RNAcentral. Lineage: Bacteria; Bacillati; Actinomycetota; Actinomycetes; Kitasatosporales; Streptomycetaceae.